Molecule: long non-coding RNA, 853 nt
Filed under: Prunus dulcis (almond)
Lineage: Eukaryota; Viridiplantae; Streptophyta; Magnoliopsida; Rosales; Rosaceae
Source: RNAcentral
GGAUGUUCAAAAACGAAAACUUGAUUUGGAUUCAGAUUCAGAUUCAGAUUCGUAUUCUGAUUCGAUUCGGAUUUGGAAACGGAGAAGAAGUCGAAACCUAAUACUAAGACCGGGGUCAGUAUACUUUAUAUUUGUUUGUUAUAUAUUUUGGUGUUAUAGAAUCAAUCAAUAUGUUGCAUGAUGCAGGUGACGCUCUCGGGCUUGUUGAACUUCAUUGAUGGUUUGUGGUCAAGCUGCGGUGAUGAGAGAAUAAUUGUCUUCACCACCAACCGCAAGGAGAAGCUUGACCCUGCAUUGCUACGUCCUGGCCGAAUGGACCUCCACAUCCACUUGUCGUAUUGCACGACAAGUGGGUUCAGGAUCUUAGCCUCUAACUACCUCGGAAUUCGUGACGACAACCGCCCUCGCCUCUGUGGUGAAGUGGAAGGGUUGAUAAAGAGCACAGAGGGGACACCUGCAGAGGUUGCGGAGGAGCUCAUGAAGAGUGAUGAUGCUGAUGUUGCUCUUCAGGGACUUGUCAAUUUCAUCAUCAAGAAGAAGAUUGAGACUGAGAGGUACAUGAACAAAUUGAAAACCAAGAAGAAACGACGUCGUAGAAGACGGAUCAGAAACUUGUUCAACUUCCAUCUUUCGUGAUUUUGAUUUUCCCACAUAUGACUUUGUGUGUAUGCGGUUGGGACUUUGCUUAUUUGUUUAACAAAAAUUUGUUAUGAAUGUUGGGUUUUGUAAAUUUGUAUCUGAAUGGUCCAAUGAAUUUUGGAACUGUGGAAAUGGGCUUUGUCAAAUUCAGAGGAAAGCAUCAGGGUGAGAGAAAAGUUCUUUGAGCAACUACAGUCUCCUCUCUCUCUGUCUC